Small nuclear RNA from Hemibagrus wyckioides, 115 nucleotides. RefSeq annotates it as U5 spliceosomal RNA. Lineage: Eukaryota; Metazoa; Chordata; Actinopteri; Siluriformes; Bagridae. The record is from RefSeq and is a predicted model, not a curated record. The transcript has a single exon.
UAGCUUUGGUUUCUCCUAAGUCACGCGUAAAUCUUUCGCCUUUUGUUAAAGAUUUCUAUGGAGAGGAACAUCAAUGAGCUCGAUGUAUUUUUAUGAGCUUUGCUCUGAUAAAGCU